This is a long non-coding RNA of Camarhynchus parvulus, 352 nucleotides long. RefSeq lists it as uncharacterized. The transcript has 3 exons. Lineage: Eukaryota; Metazoa; Chordata; Aves; Passeriformes; Thraupidae. The record is from RefSeq and is a predicted model, not a curated record.
CAGACAUGGCAGCUGGUCCCUUUGUGGCACAGAGAGGGAAGGAAUCAACAAGUUGUAGCUGUAUUUCUGGCUGUAAGCAGGAAUUUCAGAGCAGCCUUUAAGGAUCCCACUUGCUGUCAGCAAAGUACAGGACACAGCUCUGAACAGAGAUGCACUGCACAGCCCAGCCUGGUACAACACUUCCAACUGUGCUGUGCCAGCACACGUGAGAUUGGGCUCCCUGGAACAGCAAAGGUCUCUCAGAGCCCAUAAGCUUUGGUCCUUUCAGAGAAGCUUGUUAUGAGCAACCGAGUAUGCAAAUGGCUGAUCAAAUAUUAUCUCAUCCAUGGGGACAAGCCAGCUCUCUGCCAGC